This 478-nucleotide ribosomal RNA is filed under the name uncultured bacterium. RNAcentral describes it as "partial 16S ribosomal RNA". It matches the Rfam family "Bacterial small subunit ribosomal RNA", at positions 28 to 507 of the family's 1533-position model. The record is from RNAcentral.
GACGAACGCUGGCGGCGUGCUUAACACAUGCAAGUCGAACGGGCUGCCUGGUUUUUGGAUCGGGUGGUGAGUGGCGAACGGGUGAGUAACACGUAAGUAACCUGCCCCUCUCUUUGGGAUAACGUCGGGAAAUCGGCGCUAAUACCGGGUAUUCUGGCUUCCUCGCAUGGGGUUGUUGGGAAAGGUUUUUUCUGGUGGGGGAUGGGCUCGCGGCCUAUCAGCUUGUUGGUGGGGUGAUGGCCUACCAAGGCGGUGACGGGUAGCCGGCCUGAGAGGGUGUCCGGCCACACUGGGACUGAGACACGGCCCAGACUCCUACGGGAGGCAGCAGUGGGGAAUAUUGCACAAUGGGCGGAAGCCUGAUGCAGCGACGCCGCGUGGGGGAUGACGGCCUUCGGGUUGUAAACCUCUUUCAGUGCAGAACAAGGCUCUUUGUGGGUUGAGGGUAUGCGCAGAAGAAGCGCCGGCUAACUACGUG